RNAcentral lists this ribosomal RNA (332 nucleotides) under uncultured bacterium. RNAcentral describes it as "bacterial SSU rRNA". It matches the Rfam family "Bacterial small subunit ribosomal RNA", at positions 568 to 898 of the family's 1533-position model. The record is from RNAcentral.
CCUGCAGGCGGUCUCGUAAGUGGGAUGUGAAAUCUCCUGGCUUAACUGGGAGGGGUCAUUCCAUACUGCGAGGCUCGAGGGCAGAAGAGGGAAGCGGAAUUCCCGGUGUAGUGGUGAAAUGCGUAGAUAUCGGGAGGAACACCAGUGGCGAAGGCGGCUUCCUGGCCUGCUCCUGACGCUAAGAGGCGAAAGCUAGGGGAGCGAACGGGAUUAGAAACCCCGGUAGUCCUAGCCAUAAACGAUGGAUACUGGGUGUCGGUGGUCCUAACCCCAUCGGUGCCGAAGCUAACGCGUUAAGUAUCCCGCCUGGGGACUACGGCCGCAAGGUUAAA